Molecule: long non-coding RNA, 11032 nt
Filed under: Homo sapiens (human)
Lineage: Eukaryota; Metazoa; Chordata; Mammalia; Primates; Hominidae
Description: HSALNT0214391
Source: RNAcentral
GGCUGUGCAGAAUGUGCUUUGUUAAACAAGUGCUUGAAGGCAGUAUGCUUGGUAAAAGUCAUCGCCAUUCUCUAAUCUUGAGUACCCAGGGACACGAUACACUGCGGAAGGCUGCAGGGACCUCUGCCCAGGAAAGCCAGGUGGUUUCCAAAAGGAAAAGCUUUGGGAGAUAGAAGUCCUCGUUUUGACCUCUGCCCUCCUUGUACACCAGGAGCCAGAAAAACUUCAUCUCUUUUACAAGAAACAUUGAGAUUCCUGUAAAAUUAAGAAAUCACACAAUUUGAUGGUCUACAUUAUCUAAAGCAAAUGAGACUUCUAUUUGGAACAAAGACUACCUUGUUGGGAAAUGAGUCUGCAAGUUAAAGUGUUUUCUGAGCUCAGAUGGAAAAGAAUGGUGUUACUGAGACCCUUCAAGAUUCCCAGUGUAAUUCAAUAAAGAAAAGGCAACACAAAGGGGUUGUAUAGAAUUCGCCACAUUAUGGACCCAUGUCAUAGAGAGAAUCCACGGUGCAUUUGUUAGCUGCAUUUAAAUGACAACACUUUCAGAUCCAAGAUUUAUUUGGGAUAAAAAUUUACCUGGAUGCAAGGCUAUUCAGAAUGAAGAUUAAUGAUAUGGUUUGGCUGUGUCCCCACCCAAACUUCAUCUUGAAUUCCCACGUGUUGUGAGAGGGACCUGGUGGGAGAUAAUUGAACCAUGGGGGCAGGUCUUUCUCAUGCUGUUCUCAUGAGAGUGAAUAAGUCUCAUGAAACCUGAUGGUUUUAUAAGGGGGAAUUUCCCUGCACAAGCUCUCUCUCUGCCUUUUGCCAUCCAUGUAAGACGUGACUUGGUCCUCCUUGCCUUCUACCAUGAUUAUGAGGCCUCCCCAGCCACGUGGAACUGUGAGUCCAUUAAACCUCUUUCUUUUGUAAAUUUCCCAGUCUCAGGUAUGUCUUUAUCAGCAGCAUGAAAACAGACUAACACAAUUACAUUUCCCAGCUAUCCCCUUGCACUGAGAUGAGCCAUGUUACUAAUCCUGACAAAUGGGAUGUGAGUUUAAAUUACAUGUGAAACCUCUGGGUUUCACAAGAGGAAUCUGAACCCCUGCAAAGAAAGAGACCCCAAACAGUCCUGGAUCAUUAUGUGACAGAGAGAAUCACUUCUAUCUUGUGUUUUAAAAUACUGUUAUGUUUAAUCUCUGUCAUGGCAGUAAAACCUAUAUUGGAACAAGUCCCUAAGGCUGCCUAGGUGAAAGGCGAUGGUCUGAGGCAGGAACAGGGUGAAUGAAUUAAUGGAGAUAAUAGAUCUGAGAAUAGUUGUUGGACUUAUUGACAGGAUGUAGGAAACAAGAGAGAAGAAGGUGUUAAUUGCACCCUCCCGCCCCAUAUGCUUUCACUCCAAGACUGGGUAAAUGGAUGGUGAAGUCAUCAAUGAAAAAAGGAGGAUGUGGGAGAAGUAAGAUUACUUCCAAACAUUUUAGAGGAGUUGGAAGUUUGCUGGGAAAAACCUGUUUUCAGUUCAUUUGUUCAUCAAUUCAAAAGAAUUUUACUGACCUCUUACUAUGUGUAAGGAACAAAGGAUUUUUUUACAAAAAAAAAAAUGUUCAUUAGCAAUAGCGUAGGUUUUUAUUACAAAAACAAUAAAGAUGGGAACCUCAGCUGUAAAAGUAGUAAAAAUACAGAACUCUGUAGAUUAUGCACAGAUUUGUCAGGCCCUUCAUUGCUUGAGCUGUUUACAGAUCAUCUAACAUCUCACUUAGUGUUGUCUCAGGUUUGCACAAGCAGCCAGCCUGGACAAGGGAAGUGUGUGAGGCACACUUUUAGCUUUAAGAUUUUAUAAAAGUCCACCUGUUUGGAGCUGAGGUUCAUAUAAGAAAGAGAAGGCCCCUACAGUGAGAAGAAUUUCACAUAGCCACUCAUGUAGUUGUACUGUAAUCCCAAAUAUCCUUAGGAGAGUCAUUCCAAAUAAACAUAUGUACAUGUACAUUCAGGGCAAAGAGUAUGUGUAUGUACAUUCCAUACACUUCAAAACACAGUCCUGUUUAAAUCAUCUCUGCACAUUUUCAUAGCAGACUUUCUUUUUGCCCAUUUAUCCUCCUACAUAAGCAGUUUAAAUAAUCACCCUACAUGAUAUUCUGAACUUCCUGAGUAGAAUAGUUUGUCUCAUAUUGACUAAAAAUUCAAAGUAUGUCUAUAUAUCAGGAAAGUCAUUUAACAUUCAUGUUAACAGUCACAAAUGUUAGGCCGCUUCAAACAUAUCCUACCAUAGAUUUCUUAAACAUAAAAUAUAUAUGAAGGAAAUCAAACUACUUCACUCUCAGUUUUUUAACAAAUGGUCUGGGAUCAUGUUAACUCCUUUGAUCUCUGCUUCCUGCAGGGUGGUCUGCUGCUGAUCAAAUGAAAGUAUUCCCCAGCUAAGUCAGACAACAGGAAAGCAUUCAUUUAAUUAACAGGCAUUCAAUGCAAUUCAAUGGGUUAUUUCUUAAACACCUACUAUGUGUCAAAUCCUGUCCUGUGCCUAAGUGGAUGCAAAGGUAAGUAAGAUUUAACAUGGCUCUGACGCAGGUUCAUCGAAGAGCCCUAGGACCCUGAAGGGAAAGGUUAAUUUCUUGUGAUUGUGAUGAAAGGAAAAAACACUUCCUAAAGAUUCCUACGUAAGAGCUAAACUUAGAAAGAAAGAAGGGUGGGAGUGAGGUCUCAGAAGAAACAACUGACACCUUGAUCUCAGACUUCUAACUUCCAGAACAUUGAGAAAAUAUAUUUCUAAUGUUUAAACCAUCCAGUCUGUGCUACUUUGUCAUGGCAGCCUAGCAAACUAAGACAAGGCAUAACUCUCCAACAUUUGUAAAGGAGUGUCAAAUACGUCACUGUUGAUCUUCACAUUAACCCUGCAAGGUAUAUAUUAUUAUGCGCAUUUAAGGAAACUGAGGCUCAUCAGAUAAGUAACUUGCCCAAAAUCACACAUCUACAAGUAGCAGAAAGAUACAUAGAGAACUGGGAGCAUACUGCACAUAUUUUUAUCUGCCAUUUUUAACUCAGUUGUUUUAUCAUGGACAUUUCCCAUAUCACUGAAAAUCAAAGUAUGUCAGUUUAGGUUUGCUUAUCUCAACUUUGAAUAAGCUGCCUAGGAAAUCUAUGUAACAGAGGAACAUCUUGAAAACUAACAUUGGAAAAAAUAAAAAUGAAACAUAACUUGUUAAAACCAGCAAGGAAUUUAGUGAUCACCCAAGAAGGCCAAACACUAUGACAGGUGACAACAAGGCUAUGGCACAUCCUGGGUCCUAGAAAGGCUGUCCUAGUUCAUGUGAAUAUUCUGGGAAGGACUUUCUCAUCCUCCUUGACCCCAAGAACUAUGGAGGGCUGAACAGGCAGGUUGAUCCCUCUCUAGCUCUGGGUCUCAUAGAGCAAAGAGGAUGAUGCUAUUAGGGUUCACCUCACAGUGUAUUAAAGGAGGGAAAGACUUAAAAUGGUUUACAGUGAGGUUUGGGAAACAUUAGCAAUGAUUUCUGUGAUUUAGAAGAUAAAAAUAAAAAAUUCUAUUCUUGCUUUUUAUAUAUAGAUUAUCCAGUUUAUUCUUGAUAACCAUUUUCAGAAUGACAUGGAUCAUCACUGCAAGACCGUAGGUGUACAUCCAGUAGAACUCGGGGAAGAACCAAUAUCACGGAAGAAGAAAGAGAAGAAAAUUGAUGUAUUCAUUACCUCUAGAAGCUUACUAUCCAGUUGGGGAUAUGACAAAUCUUAAAAACAAAAAUUGGAAAGAAAAAAGACUUGCUUAAAGUAGCCACCGAUUGUUUUUAAAAGACCUAAUAAGAAUUUGUGUGAAUAUACUUUAUAAAUUUUGAAGCACUGUAACAGGUUCUUAAACUACUACAUGUUUUAAAAAUACUGAUUUUUUUCUGAGUUUCAGGCACUAUUUUGUAAUUAUUAGUAACUAGUGCAUGUAAGUUAGCAUAGCAGAGUUGAAACUGAGUUAGUAGUUGCCUAGGAGACCUAAAAUAAAGAAGCAACUCACAAGAGUUGGAGGUUGCCCUCGCUCACACUGCCACAAACAUUUUUAAACACCACCACGGCUUAUGGACAAAGUAGACACGGCACAGGUUUAAACUCAGGGCUGGGGCUGGAAUCCCAGCUCCGCUACUUAGUAGUUAUUUGACCUAAGAUAAGUCAUGAAAAUGCCAUUGAUGAUAAUAGACCUUGAAGCGCUCUUAAAAGAUUUCAUGAUAAUGCAUGUAGAGUACCUGGCCCACAGUCAGGGCACUAUAAAUGGAAAAUCUUAUUACUCUUAGGAGCUAUUAUUAGUUUUCUAGGGCUGCCAUAACAAAGUUCCACAAACUGGGUGGCUUAAAAGAAAUUUAUUUCUCACAGUUCUGGAGGCUAGCCAUGCAAAAUCAAGAUGUCAGCAGCGUUGGUUCUUUCCGAGGGCUCCCAGGGAGCAUCUGUUCCAUGCCUCUCCUAGCUUCUGGUGAUGGCUGGCAAUUCUUGGUGUUCCCUGCUUGUAGAAGCAUCACUCCAGUUUCUGUCUUCUUCUUCAUAUGGUGUUCUCCUUGUGCCUCUGUGUCUUCACAUAGCCAUCUUCCCUCUGUUUCUCUCCUUUUCUUAUAAGGACACCAUUUGUAUGGAUUAAAGGUCCACCCUACUCCAGUAUGGCUUCAUUUUAACUAAUUAUAUCUGCAAUAACCCUAUUUCCAAAUAAGAUCACAUUCUAUAGUACUGGGAGGCUGGACUUAAACAUAUCUUUAUGGUGGCAGGGGCCACAAGUCAACCCAUAACAACAACUUAAGUUCAGCUUCUAGUCCCACAAACCAGCCAAGUGACCUUGAAUGAAGCACUGCCUCCGAUACUCAGUAUACUCAGUAUCGUCAUUUAUAAAUUAAGACAAUAGUAUCUCUUUAUAGAAUCUCCCAUAGAGUCAAAAAAGACUAUAAGUGAGAGUGCUUUCUAAACUAUAGAGCAUUAUAUAAUUUAAUUAUAAGUAUUUCUAUAAAGAUUACAGAGUAUUUUGAUGCCCAUUUUAUUCUUAGCUUAGCUCCUAUAACCCCUCUGAAUCGUCCAUUGCCCCACAGUUCCUUGCUUGCCUUCAACAAACUCAAAUAGGACAUUUUUUAAAUGAUUUGUCCUCUUAACUCUAAGCGAACUAAAUUAUGCCUGUGUAUUAUUGGGCUGGGGCAAUUGAGUUACCUGACCAUUUCCAUGAAGUCACAGUGCUAACCUAAUGCAAUGUGACAGCUUUUUCCUGUAGCACAUUCUUAAAAUUUGAUUAUUCUGAGUAAGAAAAUAUUCAUUGAGAGGCUCACCAGGAUUGCACCAGGCCUGUUUAGUAUCCAUAUGUAAAGGUUAAGCUCCAGGAGUGAGAGCCAGAGGGCAGCUGAGCUGCCAUCAGUCAUCUUUCUCAGGCUCCAAAUUGAGGAGAAUUAAUGUGUACCUGCUUCUGUAACCUUCCGCUGCAGAAUUAGACCAUGAAUAAUAAAAUCCACGAUUAGUCAUAAAUUGGAAGAGAUGGGUUUUUUGUACUGCAAUAAAACAAUUGAAAAGUAAACAGGCCUUUUAUACUUUCAUAAAACAGGCACAUUAGAGCAUCCGAAAUAGCCUUCACUUGGGUUCUUCAUUACACUGAUAAUGACUGCAUAUUGCCAGUAUGUGCCCUCUUAGUGAAUAAUUUUUUAAGGGCAAAAAACAGAGUACAUAGGUAUUUGGUUCAUUCUCAUUAAGUUUUGUACUGAAAAAUGUAACCUCUUUUUUCUAUUUUCAGAUGAUGCAUAUCAUAAAUUAUUACUCACCCCAUGUUCCCACCCUCGAGAGACCUCCAAACAAUCACCAUGCCACAGUGAACAUUCAGUAACAAAAAUUCAGCCAGGGUUUUCACCAGCAUGAAUGGCAGUGAUUCCAAUCAGGAAAACAGAAAGAGGAGAGUUCAGAGCCACCUAGAAUGGCUCUUGCAAGAUACGAAAUCAAGGCAGCAGCAACAGGGCUGAACAUUCCUCAUCCCUAACUCUCCCUUCACCAGUAGGAAACCCAGGAUAACUGCAAUCACCGCAGGCCCAUCUGGCCUGAAGUUCUACUACUAGUAGCCCUCCAUGGGACCUUCUUAAGGAAGCAUGUCAACUCAGGUAAGGGAUGUAAGGGGAUGGAUGACCCUUUGAGGCCAAAGUUGGAGCAAAAAACACCAGAUGUUCCUGUGCACUGCUCCUAAGAGAUGGUUCUGAAGACCAGUUCGGGGAGAGGUCAAAAUACUGGACAGAAUCUCAGCAACAUGGAACCUCAAACUAAGUGACAGUCACAGACAACUCUUCCCCAAAGAAAAUAAGCACAGACAUGGUUUGUGGUAAGCAGAAUUAUAAAGAUGAAUUCCCAUCUCCCUGUCAGAUUACCAGUAUGGUAAAUUACCAGAUUACCUGGUUAUUUAUUCAAACACUAAUACAGUUAUUGCCUUGAUGGAAACAUACAGAUACAAUUAAAAUCCCAAGUACCAAAUAAAUUGACCUUAAGACAAAGACUAAGUAAAUCACAUGAGCCCUCUACAAGCAGAGAGUUUUUCUCCAGCUGGUAGCAGAAGCCAGAGAUUUGAAGCAUAGGAAGUAUUCAACACAUUAUUGCUGGCCUGAAAAUGGAAGGGGCCACAUAACGAGGGAAACCGGUGGCCUCUAGAAGCAGGGAGCAGUCCCCUGCUGACAGACAGCAAGCCAAGACCUCAGUUCUACAAUUGCAAGACACUCAAUUCUGCUAAGGACAAAAAUGAGCUUGGAAGUGAACUCUGAGCUUCAGGUGAGAACACGGCCAAACAACACCUUGAUUUCAGCUUAAACAAAGAAUGCAGCCACUCCAUGCCAGAAUUCUGACCUGUAGAAAUUUGAGCUAAUAAAUAGAUGUUUUAAUAGCUUCAUCGAUACAUACUUCACUUACUGUAAAAUUCAUUAUUUUAAAGUGUACAAUUCAGUGGUUUUCAGUAUAUCCACAAAAUGCAACCAUCACCACUAUCUGAUUUCAGGAUUUCUUUUUCUUUUCUUUUUUUUUUAAUCCCAUAAAGAAAAUCCAAACCAAUUAGCAGUCUUUCUUCCUUCUCCCUGCUCCCAGCCCGUGAAAACCACUAAAUUACUGUCUGUUUCCAUGGAUAUGCCUAUUCUGGAUAUUUUAUAUAAACCAAAUCAUGCAAUAUGUGGCCUUUUGUAUUUGGCUGCUUGCACUUAGCAUAAUGUUUUCAAAAUCCAUCCAUGUUGUAGCAUUUCUCAGUAUUUCAUUCCUUGUAUAGCUGAAUAAUAUACCACACAAAUAUAUCACAUUUUGUUUGUCCAUUCAUCAUUUAAUAGAUGCUUAGGUUUUUCCAUUUUUUAAGUAUUAUAAAUAAUAUGGCUUUUAAUAUUUGUGUACAAGUUUUUCUGUAGGCACAGGUUUUCAUUUCUCAUGGAUAUAAACCUAGAGUGAAAUUGCUGGGUCAAAUAGUGGCUCUAUGUUUAACAAUUUGAGGAACAGCCAAACUGUUUUUUGAAAUGGCUGCAUUAUUUUACAAUUCUGUCAACAAUGUAUGAGGGUUCCAAUUUCCUGACGUCCUUGUCAACACUUGUUAAUGUCUGCUUUUGUAUUUUAGGCACCCUAGUGGGUAUGUCAUAAUAUUGCAUUGUGAUUUUGAUUUGCAUUUCCCUAAUGGCUAAUGUUGUACAUCUUUUAUAUGUGCUUAUUGGCCAUUUGUUUAUGUUCUUUAGAGAAAUGUUCUGUUCAAACACUUUGCCCAAGUUUUAACUGGACUAAUUAUCUUUUUAUUGUUGCGCUGCAAGAAUUCUACAUGUAUUCUGGAGUAGUUGUUUAUCCGAAAUACAAUUUGCAAAUAUUUUCUGUCACUGUAUAGGUUGUCUUUUUACUUUCUUGAUAGUGUUCUUUGAAGCAAAAAAGUUUUUUUAUUUUCUUGAACCCCAGUUGAUCUAUUGUUUCUUCUUUUUCUGCUUGUACUUUCGGUUUUAUAGCUAAGAAGCCAUUGCUUAAAUCAAGUUCACAAAGAUUUACACCUCUGUUUUCUUCUAAGAGAUUUACAGCUUUCUUUUUUUUUUUUUUUUUCUUUUUUGCUAGAGAAAGGAUCUCACUGUUGGCCAGGCUGUUCUCAAACUCCUGGGCUCAAAUGAUCCUCUUGCCUCAGCCUCCCAAAGUGCUGGGAUUACAGGCAUGAGCCACCACGCCCAUCCAAGUUUUACAGCUUUAGAUGUUGCAUUUAGAUCUUUGAUCCAUUUUGACUUAAUUUUUAUAUAUGGUGUGAGAUAGAGGUUCGGCUUUAUUCUUUUGCCUGUAGAUAUCCAGUUGUUUCAAGCCACAGUGAGAUACCACUUCACACCUACUAGGAUGGCUACAAUAAAAAAAAGACAAUAACAAAUAUUGAUGAGAAUUUGGAGAAAUUUGAAUCCUUCAAUUUGCUAAUAAGAUGUAAAUUAGAGGAACCACUUUAGAAAACAUUUUGGCAGCUCCUCAAAAUGGGUAUAUACCUGUAAUUUUAUGUUUAAAACAUAACUGUAAUUUUAUGUUUAAAAUUACUGUUUGACUCAACAAUUCCACUCCUAGGUAUAUACCAAAGAGAAAUGUAAACAAAGGUUUACACAGAAACUUGUAUAAAAAUGUUAAUAGCAGCAUUAUUUAUAAUAGCCAAAAAGUGGAAACAAGCUAAAUAUUCUUCGACUGACGAAUGGAUAAAGAAAAUGUGGUAUAUCUAUAUGAUGGACUAUCACUCUACCAUUCAAAGAAACAAAAUACUGAAUCAUGCUACAGUAUGGAUGAAUUUAAAAACAUUAUGCUAAGUGAAAGAAGCCAGACACAAAAGUCCACAUAUUGUGUGAUUCCAUUUAUAUGAAAUGUUCAGAAAAGGCAAAUCUAUAGAGACAGAAAGCAAAUUCGUGAUUGCCUAGCGUGGGGUGCAGAAAAAAGUGGGGAUUGGAGGGUGAUAACUCAGGGGUGCAGGGUUUCUUUGGGGGGUGAUGAAAAUGUUCUAAAAUUAAUUAUGGUGAUUAUGGUUACACAGCGUUAUGAAUAUACUAAAGACCAUUAAAUUAUAUACUUAAAAUGAUUGUAUUAUGUGGUAUAUGAAUUAUAAUUCAAUAGAAUAGUAGUAAAAAAACAGGUGAUGGAAAGCAUUUGCCUGCAGUCUAUACUUUUUCUACUCCUGGUAUAGGAGAACAAGAACAAAGAAGUCACUCAGAUUGUUUUAAUUGCCUUUGUACUAAGGAGAAAAAUAAGACCUAUGUCAGGCACAUGGGUAGAUGGUUCCUCAUAAAGGCUUAAGACAAAACCCAAGUAAAUAAAAAUGAGUUUGUAUUUUUCUGAUGAACUUUUUUGUAUAUGUUUUAUGUGAACUCAUGUGAGGCAGAGGCAGAGAGUCACUAUACAUGAUUUCUAGAUACUGGCCAUAAAACUUUCUUUCUCAUCAUUGCUAAUAGGAGAAUCAGAGAGCAUAUAGUUACAACUAGUUUUUUAAUUCAAUCUGGCAAUCUCUGUAGUUUAAUUGAAGUUUUUUAUAAAAUUUAUACUUAAGGCCAGAUGAGGUGGCUCACGCUUGUAAUUCCAGUACUUUGGGAGGCCGAGGUGGGUGGAUCACGAGGUCAGGAGUUCGAGACCAGCCUGGCCAAGACAGUGAAACCCCGUCUCUACUAAAAAUACAAAACUUAGCUGGGUGUGGUGGCAGGCAGCUACGCGGGAGGCUGAGGCAGGAGAAUCACUUGAACCUGGGAGGCGGAGGUGGCAGUGAGCCAAAAUUGCACCACUGCACUCCAGCUUGGUCAACAAAGCCAGACUCUCUCUCAAAAAAAAAAAUUAUAGUUAAUGUAAUUUUUAACAUUCUUUUGUUUUAAACCACAUAUUUUCAUCUAGUUAUUUAUCCUUUCUAUUAUUCUUGUGUUUUAAACCCCCAUAUUUCCACCUAGUUUUUGUUUAAUCUCUAUUUUUUCUUCCAUUUGCCUCUUUUUCUGCCUUCAUUUGGAUGAUUAUUUUAUAUUUGAUAUUAGCUUAUUAAUGACUAUGCUUUCUAUUAUUUUAAGUGGUUGUUCUAGGUCUUAAAAUACAUAUAUUUGACUUAACAUAGUCUAUCUCCAAAUAUUACUUUAACCGCUUCACGUAUAUUGUAACAACUUUACAAGGGUAUAAUUCCAUUUUCUUUCUCCUGUCCUUUAUCCUAAUAUGUAUACUUCUAUAGGUGUUAUAAAUUCCACAACACAUUGUUAUUAUUGUUGUUUCAAGCAGUGAAUUUUUUAAAAAAAAUUUAAAAUUAGGACAAAAGUCUGUUAUAUUUAACCAGUAUAUUUACCUGUUCCAACAUUCUUCAAUUCUUUGCAUAGAGCCAAAUUUCUUCCAUUAUUUUCCUCCUGCCAAAGACCUUUUCAUAGCCUUCUUACAUUGGAAGCCUGCUGGUAAUGAAUUCUUCAAGCUCCACUUUUAUAUUAAAAAAUUCCUUUUUAAAAUCAUUUUUAUAUUAUUACAUGUUAUUGAAUUAUCAUUUAACAGUAUUUUGUUUGUUUUUGUUUUGUUCCCUCCACCCCUUUCUCAUGAAGUAAAAAUGUUUCUCAAUUUUCUUUUGAUUUACAUAGUUUCUGAUUUAAAGUCUGGCAUCAGUCUUAUCUGGUUUGUAAUGUUUAUUUUUCUCUGGCGGCUUAUAAAAUUCCCUUUAUCACUGAUUUUCAUCAAUUUGAUUACAACAUGGUGGUUCUUUUAUACUUAUUCUGUUUGGGAUUCAUUUAUCUUUUUGGAUUGCUUUAUAAAUUUCAUCUCUUACGGAAAAUGUUCAUUUACUAUUUCAUCUCUUUUUUUGUUUUGUUUUUUCCACCCUGGGACUCCAAUGACAUAUAUUUUAGACCAUUUAGUGCUUUUAUACAGAAAAACGAUGCUCUGUUUAUUCUGUUUUAAGUAUUUUUUUCUCAUUAUGCUUCUUUUUGGAUAAUUCCUAUUGCUAUACCUUUGGGUUCACUUAUUUUUUAUGGUAUCUAAUCUGCUGUUAAUCUCAUCCAGAGUCUUUUUUAUUUCUAUUACAUUUUUCAUCACUAGAAACUCUAUUUGAAUCUUCUUAUAACUUCCAUUUCUCUCCUCAUUGUGG